CCGCUGCUGGCCGAGCGGGUGGGCCGGGCCGGCUACGUCCCGGCGAUGUGCCUGGGGUUCGCGGCCAUGGCCGCGGGC
Molecule: transfer RNA, 78 nt
Filed under: Sphaerisporangium melleum
Lineage: Bacteria; Bacillati; Actinomycetota; Actinomycetes; Streptosporangiales; Streptosporangiaceae
Description: tRNA-Arg
Source: RNAcentral